AGACAGAGGGUGCAAGCGUUAUCCGGAAUCAUUGGGUUUAAAGGGUCCGCAGGCGGAUUAAUAAGUCAGUGGUGAAAUCCUCUCGCUCAACGAGAGAACUGCCAUUGAAACUGUUAGUCUUGAAUUCGGUCGAAGUAGGCGGAAUGUGUCAUGUAGCGGUGAAAUGCAUAGAUAUGACACAGAACACCGAUAGCGAAGACAGCUUACUAGACCUGGAUUGACGCUCAUGGACGAAAGCGUGGGGAGCGAACAGGAUUAGAAACCCUAGUAGUCC
Molecule: ribosomal RNA, 274 nt
Filed under: uncultured bacterium
Lineage: Bacteria
Description: partial 16S ribosomal RNA
Rfam family: Bacterial small subunit ribosomal RNA
Source: RNAcentral